Acinonyx jubatus (cheetah) is the source of this 2191-nucleotide long non-coding RNA. RefSeq lists it as uncharacterized. The record is from RefSeq and is a predicted model, not a curated record. NCBI's taxonomy places the organism in Eukaryota, Metazoa, Chordata, Mammalia, Carnivora, Felidae. The transcript has 4 exons.
UGGGUAGUGAGGAACUGAAGGUGCUGGUUCCGUUCCUGCUGCGUUUUGGGCCAGGGCCUCUGAUCUUGAAUGUGUGUGGACACUCACUCUGCCAAAGUACUGCAAAGCAGAUCAACAGCUGCUUUGAGCACCUCUGGAUCUCCGCAACGCACACAGGCACUGCAGGUGAUUCAGGAAUUGGAUGAGUCUCUGUGGCUUGUUUUGCCCUGAAGAGCAGAAGGCUUCGGUCCCAGCUGGUGUUGCCAAAGCAGCAUACUAAUUCCAUGCCAUGGUCCUGGGUCAAGAUCUGCACAAUCUGAUUGGCCAUAUCACCUCGGAUGGCAAGGGAACGGAAGUGGUCAAAGUCAUGGAGGCCCAGCUUCCGGAGACGCCUUGCAGCUGCCCGGUAUCUCAGACCUCAGGGAGGAAGAAAGGAUUCCAAGGGCAUAGCCAGCAUUCCUUACCAGGAAGGUGAAGAAAGUGUGGCUGGAAACAACCCAGAUGUCCAACAAUAGUAGCAUGGAUGAAGAAAUAUGGUAUAUUCAUUAAGAUGGAAUACUAAAUAGCAGUUAAAAAUGAAGGAAUUCAGCUCAGUGCAUCAACAUGGAUGACUCUUACAAAUAUACAAUGUUCAGCAAAAAAGCAAGACACACGCAAAAAAUACAUGGCAAGCUUCCAUUUAUAUGAAUUUCAAAAAUGGAUAAGAUUAAAUUACAUUGUUUAGGGAUACAAAAAUAGUGAGCUAUAAAGAAAAUCAAGGAAAUAAGCAUAAGUCAGGCUAGUUGUUCCCUCUGGGUGGAGGGGGGCGGUUUAGGAACAGAGAAAGUUAAGGGACUUUUGGGGUUCUGACAAUGUUUUAUUCUUGAUCUGGACAAUGGCCAUAAAGGUGUCUGCUUUAUAAUAGUUCAUAAAGUGUAAAUUUAUGUCUUAUGCACUUUUCUGUAUGUGUGGCAUAGUUCACAAAAAAUUCUUUUAAAAAGUCAUGCUGUUGUUGUAGAUUAAGGACCAUAUUUAGAGUAGGAAGGUCCUAUACUACGCUGCUUAAUUUUCUCCCCAUUUCUAUACUUAUUUCUUUGCUGACUCCCUCUUCCUGUCUGAUCUUGGGUGUGCCAGUUUCACUAGUCAUUUGUCACUUCAUCCUUCCUCUACCACAUCUCUUCACCUUCUCCAACCUCAACUCCCCAAACCCAGAAUACCCUGGAAGCUUGAAAAAUAAAAUAUAGACUCAAGGGCUCAAUCACUCAAGAUCCUGAUUCAGUAGGGCUACAGUGGGGCCUGGGAGUUUUAAAAAUGUAAAUAAAGCACCCUAUAAAUUAUGGUACAUGCAUACAAUUUUGAAGCUGCUAAAAAGAAUGUCGUGACAUGAGUGAUCUCCAAAUUAUUAAGUGAAAAGCAAGGUGCCAAAUAGUGUGCUAUUAUUUGUAAAGGUAAAAGAGGUAAUAUUUAUACAUACAUAAAUGCCUACAUACACACAGGAUACAUACCCAAGAAAUUAUAAAUAGCGGUUGCCAAUGUGUAGGGGGGAAGGAGAAUUUAGGGUCAGGAAUAGAGACUUACUUUUUGUUACAUGCCUGUGAUUUGCAAUCAUAGGGUCAGAAUAUCUGCUCCUGUAGGAUAUGGUAGUAGUUACAGAUAGGUGUCAAGGGUGGCAUGUCGAUAUUUUGAAUGUAAUUUCACUACAAUCACUCUACGCCUAAGAAUACUUUGAGGUAAGAAGACGUGGCAAUGCCUUCCUCCGCCAAGGAGCUGUAUCCUCCCUCUCAACCCUCUCCACUGUACUCAGUCAACUCACUGCUUUUAAAUAAAUAUCUACUUGGCUCCAGGAUGCAUCCUACACCGUAUGGCACACGAAUCUUAAUUCCAGGCGUGAUUCCGUCACCCCUGGCUCUUCUCUCCCAGUAACCCAAUCCCAACCCUACGCUCCCAAAGGCGGGUGUCCGGACGCCCCCUCUCUGCAGCCAGGUCGCCAGCCACGCUAUACAGGAGGCAAGCGCCGGAAGCCCCAAAACGGUGGCCCUUCCCAUCCGAGGUUUGGCCGUGAGGCGGCGAACGCACAAGCGGGGACGCAGGAAUUCGGAACGGAGUUUAAACUCAUUUGGGGAAAGUGGUGAUGGGUGUGAUGCCACGCCCAAACCACAGCCCCAGCGAACGCAGAGGAAGCCAACCGCUCGGCUCCCCGACCUCCGACCCCGCCCCCGUCACUCACCCCAGA